This 207-nucleotide ribosomal RNA is filed under the name uncultured delta proteobacterium. RNAcentral's name for it is "partial 16S ribosomal RNA". It matches the Rfam family "Bacterial small subunit ribosomal RNA", at positions 568 to 774 of the family's 1533-position model. The record is from RNAcentral. Lineage: Bacteria; Deltaproteobacteria.
CACGUAGGCGGCGAAGCAAGUUGGGUGUGAAAGCCCUGGGCUCAACCCAGGAAGUGCAUUCAAAACUGCUUCGCUUGAAUCUCGGAGGGGGUCAGAGAAUUCCCGGUGUAGAGGUGAAAUUCGUAGAUAUCGGGAGGAAUACCAGUGGCGAAGGCGCUGACCUGGACGAAGAUUGACGCUGAGGUGCGAAAGCGCGGGGAGCAAACA